GACGAACGCUGGCGGCGUGCUUAACACAUGCAAGUCGAACGGAAAGGCCCUGCUUUUGUGGGGUGCUCGAGUGGCGAACGGGUGAGUAACACGUGAGUAACCUGCCCUUGACUUUGGGAUAACUUCAGGAAACUGGGGCUAAUACCGGAUAGGAGCUCCUGCUGCAUGGUGGGGGUUGGAAAGUUUCGGCGGUUGGGGAUGGACUCGCGGCUUAUCAGCUUGUUGGUGGGGUAGUGGCUUACCAAGGCUUUGACGGGUAGCCGGCCUGAGAGGGUGACCGGCCAAAUUGGGACUGAGAUACGGCCCAGAAUUCUACGGGAGGCAGCAGUGGGGAAUAUUGCACAAUGGGCGGAAGCCUGAUGCAGCAACGCCGCGUGCGGGAUGACGGCCUUCGGGUUGUAAACCGCUUUCGCCUGUGACGAAGCGUGAGUGACGGUAAUGGGUAAAGAAGCACCGGCUAACUACGUG
Molecule: ribosomal RNA, 468 nt
Filed under: uncultured bacterium
Lineage: Bacteria
Description: partial 16S ribosomal RNA
Rfam family: Bacterial small subunit ribosomal RNA
Source: RNAcentral